RNAcentral lists this transfer RNA (73 nucleotides) under Ictidomys tridecemlineatus (thirteen-lined ground squirrel). RNAcentral describes it as "Spermophilus tridecemlineatus (thirteen-lined ground squirrel) tRNA". It matches the Rfam family "tRNA". From Rfam's summary of the family: Transfer RNA (tRNA) molecules are approximately 80 nucleotides in length. The record is from Rfam by way of RNAcentral. Lineage: Eukaryota; Metazoa; Chordata; Mammalia; Rodentia; Sciuridae.
GGGGAUGUAGCUCAGUUGGUAGAGUGCUUGCCUUUCAUUCACAAGGCCCUGGGUUUAAUCUCCAGCACCCCUC